AAAAUAUCCUCAUAAGUUAGACGAAAAGAGGUACCAUUUGUUUAAUUUAUUAUUUAAACCUUCAAUUUUAGAAAUAUUAAUGAAGGAUAUAUUAUAAUUUAUUUUCAAAUGGUGACACAGAAUCGGAGGCCACGACUGUUUACUAAAAACACAACACAGUGCAAUCAUUAAUAUGGUAGUAUACUGUGUGAAAUUUGCCCAAUGCCAUUAAUAUAAAAGCGGUCAUGGGAAACUGUGACUAAUUGAAAAUCUGGUUAAUAGCGGUCUUAAUCAUGAGGAUCCUAAGGUAGCAAAAUAAAUUGGCCAUUAAAUGUGGUCCGGUAUCAAUAAUGUAACGAUGGCCUCACUGUCUCUACAACUUGCUCAGUGAAAUUGAAUUACGCGUGCAGAUGCGCGUUACCUCCAGUGGGACGGGAAGACCCUAUGCACUUCU
RNAcentral lists this ribosomal RNA (433 nucleotides) under Amanita sp. 'banningiana'. Its description in RNAcentral is "LSU rRNA". It matches the Rfam family "Bacterial large subunit ribosomal RNA", at positions 1719 to 2102 of the family's 2925-position model. The record is from RNAcentral. Lineage: Eukaryota; Fungi; Basidiomycota; Agaricomycetes; Agaricales; Amanitaceae.